Sebastes umbrosus (honeycomb rockfish) is the source of this 549-nucleotide long non-coding RNA. RefSeq lists it as uncharacterized. The record is from RefSeq and is a predicted model, not a curated record. The transcript is spliced from 3 exons. Lineage: Eukaryota; Metazoa; Chordata; Actinopteri; Perciformes; Sebastidae.
GUACUCCAGGACGCUGUGCUGCAUGUUGGGAAGGGUGUUGUGGCACAGCGUCUCCUCCAGGAACAGACGGACCAGCGGCGCCUUGAAGGCCUCGUAGCCCAGCUCGCCGAGGGACUUUAGGAUGCGAGUGAUCCGCAGCAGUUUGACUCCGUAGAAGUCCAACAUCAGGGAAUAGGCCGCCAGGAAUCUCCGCUUAGCUUCCCGAGUGCUUUGGAAUUCCUGAUGGGAUUAAACGCAGCAGAUCAGAGACCAGCUGACAGGCUAACGUUAGGCAGCUGAGAACUUCUCAGGUUCUUCCCGAACCCCUAGACAUCGUUGUGAACAGUAACGUUACAUAGAAAGUAAAGGUAAAAGUAGAAAAUUGUACACUUCUUAGGACAGCUUGCAUUCAAACGUGUACGUACUGUAGGGAGAUGCCACCGCAGUCAUGGCGACUUGUCUACUUGCGGUAUUUCCCCGGAUUUGUGUAUACAGAGAGCAUCUGUGAAUUGCGUAUCUACAUUUGUGGGUAUCAAUGGCACAUUGUUCUUUGUUUCUGUGUGUGUGUGU